Oreochromis aureus is the source of this 1182-nucleotide long non-coding RNA. The record is from Ensembl. Lineage: Eukaryota; Metazoa; Chordata; Actinopteri; Cichliformes; Cichlidae.
CCCAAUUCAGGGUCUGCAGCCUUUUUUUCCCUCACUUUAUUUAUCUCAUUUUAGACAUACAGUCAAGGGGUCUGCAGCCUUAAAGGCCGCAUUUUAAGGCCAAAGGCUGUCCCAAUUCAAAGGCUGCUCGAAAUGCGGCCCUCAAAUGCGUCCUUCAUUUCCCUGAAUUUUAAGGAUGGGUCAGUGUAGCCUUCAUGGCCCAACAUAUCCCAGACUUCAUAACGCGGCGGUGGUGUGGAUAAUUUUGCCGAAAAAAACCGUGGAAGCGAAGCGGCCGAAGAGUACUUUCAAAACUUAUCACACAUUUGAUUUCCAUGUGUGACGACUGCAAGUGUCCAGAGUGAGGACAGACUGAGGGACCCACUGCUGCACAUCAUCUGUGAGGCUUUGCACCCCUGAUGAUCCACCAGGACAAACUCAGCAGUGUGUGAGGAAGAGGAGGAGGAAGAGCCAGCAGCAGCUGACAGAUGGAGAGAAUAGACAGACUGUUCCCUGUUUGUGAAGGACUGCUAGGAAAGUUUAACAUAACUAAUUGUCUGGCCUGAAUCAGUCUUAUUAGGUAAUGUUCAAAUAAUGUUAUCAUUCCAGUGUUUUCAGUGUGGGAGAAAGUACUCAGGGCCUUCAAGUUACACACUAUGAAAGGCAGCAACAAGUUUAAUAUUCAGAAACCUAAAGUAUGUAUCAGCAGCAGAAUGGAGCUAAAAAUAAAUGUUUGUUUCAGUUCUAUGAAGCUUUGAGUAUUUUGGAUUAGUAGUACUGCUGUGUUUGUUGCAUCAUAUUACUGUAAUUGUUUAUAUGCUUUAUAUAUUCUGAGGUAAGUUGAUCUAUAGUGUUACAUCAUAUUCUAUAAGGAUGUUAUGUGUUUGUAGACUUUCUGCCCAGUUUGACCCAUUUAGCAGAAGUCAGCCUGUUUAAGGCUCUGAUAUCUAUUCUGUAUGACUUAAAGCAGUUAUGACAUGGUCUGAUUUUCUCACCCAAUAAAGGAAUAUUUAAUAUAUCAGUCUGAUCUUCAUUCUAUCAGAAACAGUUAUCACAGCUCGUACAUUUUCUUUUUACACAUAUAUGUAAGCAUUGAGCCAAAUUUAGUAAUGCCAACAUAUUGAAAGAACAAUGUUUGUCUCUUAUAUAUAAUACAUCUGUAUAUACACUGUCAGAGAUACUUGUCUUUGAGUGAAGAUUUAA